GGGAUAUUGCACAAUGGAGGGAACUCUGAUGCGGCGAUGCCGCGUGGAGGAAGAAGGUUUUCGGAUUGUAAACUCCUGUUUCGAGGGACGAUAAUGACGGUACCUCGGGAGGAAGCUCCGGCUAACUACGUGCCAGCAGCCGCGGUAAUACGUAGGGAGCGAGCGUUGUCCGGAAUUACUGGGUGUAAAGGGAGCGCAGGCGGGAUUGCAAGUCAGGUGUGAAAAACGUGGGCUCAACCCACGGACUGCACUUGAAACUGUAGUUCUUGAGGGAAGUAGAGGUAAGCGGAAUUCCUGGUGUAGCGGUGAAAUGCGUAGAUAUCAGGAGGAACAUCGGUGGCGAAGGCGGCUUACUGGGCUUUUACUGACGCUGAGGCUCGAAAGCGUGGGAGCAAACA
This 398-nucleotide ribosomal RNA is filed under the name uncultured Ruminococcus sp. RNAcentral's name for it is "bacterial SSU rRNA". It matches the Rfam family "Bacterial small subunit ribosomal RNA", at positions 358 to 774 of the family's 1533-position model. Lineage: Bacteria; Bacillati; Bacillota; Clostridia; Eubacteriales; Oscillospiraceae. The record is from RNAcentral.